Molecule: ribosomal RNA, 345 nt
Filed under: uncultured bacterium
Lineage: Bacteria
Description: bacterial SSU rRNA
Rfam family: Bacterial small subunit ribosomal RNA
Source: RNAcentral
AACGAACGCUGGCGGCGUGGAUUAGGCAUGCAAGUCGAACGAGAAUCUGGAAGUUCAAGUUUUCGGACAAGAAUUUUCGGAGGACAGUGGCGGAAGGGUGAGUACAACAUGGGUAAUCUAUCUUCAAGUUGGGUAUAACUCCUCGAAAGGGGAGAUAAUCCCGAAUGUGGUGAUCCGACGCAUGUCGGAGGAUCUAAAGGCGGGGACCGCAAGGCCCGUCGCUUGAAGCCGAGCCCGUGCACUAUCAGCUAGUUGGCGGGGUAACGGCCCACCAAGGCUAUGACGGUUAGCUGGUCUGAGAGGAUGGUCAGCCACACUGGGACUGAGAUACCGCCACGACUCCUA